UACGGAAUGUGCAAACGUUAUUCGGAAUCACUGGGCUUAAAGAGUCCGUCGGCGGCAUGUUAGGUGAGGUGUGAAAUCCCCCGGCUCAACCGAGGAAUUGCGCUUCAAACCGGCGUGCUUGAGGAAGAUAGAGGUGGGCGGAACUGAUGGUGGAGCGGUGAAAUGCGUUGAUAUCAUCAGGAACACCGGAGGCGAAGGCGGCCCACUGGGUCUUUUCUGACGCUGAGGGACGAAAGCUAGGGGAGCGAACGGG
RNAcentral lists this ribosomal RNA (253 nucleotides) under uncultured bacterium. RNAcentral describes it as "partial 16S ribosomal RNA". It matches the Rfam family "Bacterial small subunit ribosomal RNA", at positions 524 to 776 of the family's 1533-position model. The record is from RNAcentral.